RNAcentral lists this ribosomal RNA (496 nucleotides) under uncultured bacterium. RNAcentral's name for it is "partial 16S ribosomal RNA". It matches the Rfam family "Bacterial small subunit ribosomal RNA", at positions 29 to 507 of the family's 1533-position model. The record is from RNAcentral.
ACGAACGCUGGCGGCGUGCCUAAUACAUGCAAGUUGAGCGAUUAAGAUUGGUGCUUGCACCAAUUUGAAGAGCAGCGAACGGGUGAGUAACGCGUGGGGAAUCUGCCUUUGAGCGGGGGACAACAUUUGGAAACGAAUGCUAAUACCGCAUAACAACUUUAAACAUAAGUUUUAAGUUUGAAAGAUGCAAUUGCAUCACUCAAAGAUGAUCCCGCGUUGUAUUAGCUAGUUGGUGAGGUAAAGGCUCACCAAGGCGAUGAUACAUAGCCGACCUGAGAGGGUGAUCGGCCACAUUGGGACUGAGACACGGCCCAAACUCCUACGGGAGGCAGCAGUAGGGAAUCUUCGGAAAUGGACGAAAGUCUGGCCGAGCAACGCCGCGUGAGUGAAGAAGGGUUUCGGAUCGUAAAACUCUGUUGGUAGAGAAGAACGUUGGUGAGAGUGGAAAGCUCAUCAAGUGACGGUAACUACCCAGAAAGGGACGGCUAACUACGUG